GACGAACGCGGCGGCGUGCCUAAUACAUGCAAGUGGGACGCAAGGGAACACACUGUGCUUGCACACCGUGUUUUCUUGAGUCGCGAACGGGUGAGUAACGCGUAGGUAACCUGCCUAUUAGCGGGGGAUAACUAUUGGAAACGAUAGCUAAUACCGCAUAAUAUUAAUUAUUGCAUGAUAAUUGAUUGAAAGAUGCAAGCGCAUCACUAGUAGAUGGACCUGCGUUGUAUUAGCUAGUUGGUAAGGUAAGAGCUUACCAAGGCGACGAUACAUAGCCGACCUGAGAGGGUGAUCGGCCACACUGGGACUGAGACACGGCCCAGACUCCUACGGGAGGCAGCAGUAGGGAAUCUUCGGCAAUGGACGAAAGUCUGACCGAGCAACGCCGCGUGAGUGAAGAAGGUUUUCGGAUCGUAAAGCUCUGUUGUAAGUCAAGAACGUGUGUGAGAGUGGAAAAGUUCACACAGUGGACGGUAGCUACC
This 482-nucleotide ribosomal RNA is filed under the name Streptococcus mutans. Its description in RNAcentral is "bacterial SSU rRNA". It matches the Rfam family "Bacterial small subunit ribosomal RNA", at positions 28 to 483 of the family's 1533-position model. The record is from RNAcentral. Lineage: Bacteria; Bacillati; Bacillota; Bacilli; Lactobacillales; Streptococcaceae.